This 477-nucleotide ribosomal RNA is filed under the name uncultured bacterium. Its description in RNAcentral is "bacterial SSU rRNA". It matches the Rfam family "Bacterial small subunit ribosomal RNA", at positions 28 to 508 of the family's 1533-position model. The record is from RNAcentral.
GAUGAACGCUGGCGGCGUGCCUAACACAUGCAAGUCGAACGGAGUUACUUUGGUGAAGUUUUCGGACGGAUCUGAUUUAACUUAGUGGCGGACGGGUGAGUAAUGCGUGAGCAACCUGCCCUUCAGAGGGGGACAACAGUUGGAAACGACUGCUAAUACCGCAUAAGCACACAGUACCGCAUGGUACGGGGUGAAAAGAUUUAUCGCUGUAAGAUGGACCCGNGUCUGAUUAGCUAGUUGGUGGGUAACGGCCUACCAAGGCGACGAUCAGUAGCCGACCUGAGAGGGUGACCGGCCACAUUGGGACUGAGACACGGCCCAAACUCCUACGGAGGCAGCAGUGGGGAAUAUUGCACAAUGGGCGAAAGCCUGAUGCAGCGACGCCGCGUGAGCGAAGAAGUAUUCGGUAUGUAAAGCUCUAUCAGCAGGGAGAAAAAAUGACGGUACCUGACUAAGAAGCACCGGCUAAAUACGUAG